AGUGAACGCUGGCGGCAGGCCUAACACAUGCAAGUCGAACGAGAAGGCGUAGCAAUACGCUUGUACAGUGGCGAACGGGUGAGUAAUACGUGGGCGACCUACCCUCGAGUGGGGAAUAACCCGCCGAAAGGCGGGCUAAUGCCGCGUACGCUUCCAUCUUUAUGGAGGUGGAAGGAAAGCCGUGCCGUGGGCACGGCGCUCAAGGAUGGGCUCACGUCCUAUCAGCUUGUUGGAGGGUAACGGCCUACCAAGGCUCCGACGGUAGCUGGUCUGAGAGGACGAUCAGCCACACUGGCACUGCGACACGGGCCAGGACUCCUACGGGAGGCAGCAGUGAGGAAUAUUGCGCAAUGGGCGAAAGCCUGACGCAGCGACGCCGCGUGGGGGA
Molecule: ribosomal RNA, 388 nt
Filed under: uncultured bacterium
Lineage: Bacteria
Description: bacterial SSU rRNA
Rfam family: Bacterial small subunit ribosomal RNA
Source: RNAcentral